GCCGAGUUAGGACAUUAAGUCGCCGACUUAGGAUAUCACAUAGUAUCUUAGGGGGGGAAUAUCACAAGCUCCCUUCAGCAACAAAAGGAGGGUAUCACAUGCUCUCCCGACAUUUCUGUCGCUCCAACAGGAGAUCGUCAGAAUUCGAGGGGAAGUAUCACAAGCUCUCCCGGCAUUUCUGUCGCUUCGGCGGGAAAUCGUCGAAUAUCGAGGGGGAGUAUCACAAGCUCUCCCGACAUUUCUGUCGCUCCGGCCGGAAAUCGUCGAAUCUCGAGGGGGAGUAUCACAAGCUCUCCCGACAUUUCUGUCGCUCCGGCCGGAAAUCGUCG
Molecule: long non-coding RNA, 329 nt
Filed under: Zostera marina
Lineage: Eukaryota; Viridiplantae; Streptophyta; Magnoliopsida; Alismatales; Zosteraceae
Description: long non-coding RNA (ZMAR_LNC003863)
Source: RNAcentral